This 77-nucleotide transfer RNA is filed under the name Rhodocyclaceae bacterium. RNAcentral's name for it is "tRNA-Arg". It matches the Rfam family "tRNA". Rfam says of the family: Transfer RNA (tRNA) molecules are approximately 80 nucleotides in length. Their secondary structure includes four short double-helical elements and three loops (D, anti-codon, and T loops). The record is from RNAcentral. Lineage: Bacteria; Pseudomonadati; Pseudomonadota; Betaproteobacteria; Rhodocyclales; Rhodocyclaceae. RNAcentral also lists the same sequence under 2 other names.
GCGCCCGUAGCUCAGAUGGAUAGAGUACUUGGCUACGAACCAAGGAGUCGGGAGUUCGAAUCUCUCCGGGCGCACCA